UCCUAGUUCGUUAAUCUGCAACAUGUAUACCACUAUUGAUUAUUAUAGCCCUAAAAAACAAAAAUAAAAUAAACAAACAUAUUAAUGUAUUUGUGUUCCUCCACCACCAAAACACCUUAACUUUACAACCAAACAUGCCGUUACCACAGAUCAACACCAUAAUCACAAGCCUUGGACACAAUUUUUGCAUUUGCGGUUAACUUAUCCACCGUUACAUCACAGUUAACUUUAAUGGUAAUUGUCCACGUCUUAACGGAUCCCACCUUAAUUUUUACCGGCGCCCUCAAUUUUAAAUUGAACGGCAGAUUUGCUUUGUUUACACCGUUAACCAAUGCCUUACGUGCCGCACUCGUUAACUCAAUCCCUGAUCCCUUCAACGCCAUCACAAAGACCGUCACAUUAUUGCUCGGCUGGUAAAAUACUGGCAGCUUACCGUUACAAAGCCUAACGUCAUUGUAAUACACAUUGACUGAACUUCCUGCCCGGUAAUCAAUUCCGAUCUUAUCGUUUGGGUUAUCGGCUUUAACAGUGACGUCAAACUCCGGCGAGAGUGGAUCCGAUGACGAAAGAUUGAAUCCUUUAAUGGAGACGGAAUCAACAGAGUACUUAGGAGCUUCUGGCCGAAAAACAAGGUAUAAGACACCAGCGGCUAUGCAAGCAAGUAGAAUGAGGGCAACAAGUAUGCCAAGGAACCAGCAGAAACAGCAGCAGCAGGCACUGCGGCGUGGCUUCUUGCCAGAGAGUUUCGCAUAGCGCUUGGCAUUUUCUGGAGGA
This 774-nucleotide unclassified non-coding RNA is filed under the name Hevea brasiliensis (rubber tree). The record is from RNAcentral. Lineage: Eukaryota; Viridiplantae; Streptophyta; Magnoliopsida; Malpighiales; Euphorbiaceae.